This 336-nucleotide ribosomal RNA is filed under the name uncultured Glomus. RNAcentral describes it as "SSU rRNA". It matches the Rfam family "Eukaryotic small subunit ribosomal RNA", at positions 569 to 912 of the family's 1831-position model. Lineage: Eukaryota; Fungi; Glomeromycota; Glomeromycetes; Glomerales; Glomeraceae. The record is from RNAcentral.
AGCAGCCGCGGUAAUUCCAGCUCCAAUAGCGUAUAUUAAAGUUGUUGCAGUUAAAAAGCUCGUAGUUGAAUUUCGGGAUCAAUAUGUUGGUCGUGCCUUGGUACGUACUGGCAUUAUCGAUUCCUACCUUCUGAAGAACCUCGAUGUCAUUAAUUUGGUGUCUUGGGGAAUCAGGACUGUUACUUUGAAAAAUUAGAGUGUUUAAAGCAGGCUCGCGCUUGAAUACAUUAGCAUGGAAUAAUGAAAUAGGACGUUUGAUUCUAUUUUGUUGGUUUCUAGGAUCGACGUAAUGAUUAAUAGGGAUAGUUGGGGCAUUAGUAUUCAAUUGUCAGAGGU